Molecule: long non-coding RNA, 1314 nt
Filed under: Anser cygnoides (Swan goose)
Lineage: Eukaryota; Metazoa; Chordata; Aves; Anseriformes; Anatidae
Description: lncRNA (ENSACDG00005006796.1)
Source: RNAcentral
UCACAUACAUUCACCGAGGCUACUCUGCAGCUAGAUUUCAGUCCCCCUUCAAGUCACAAGCUAGUCAUAACAAAUGCAAAAUUCAAACAUCACUGAUAUGGUAUGAAUUGCAUUUGUACAUUUUCAUCUCAAAGGACAUGAUACAGAUAACCACAAAAAAAUGAAAGUCAGUAGCAUGUGCAAACACCCCUAAUCCCGGAAUGCACAGAGCACUUCAUUAACACAGUUUCGUCACUAACCAACUCUGCCUCAAUCCCCAUCAAUUCAUUGCAUGUCUGUCACACUAAAAGCACUGUGGCUAAACAGUCUUCAGAAAUGCACCUAGACUAAAGAAAUAAAAGCUAUGUGUUGAGCACAGAGAAUAAUUAGAGACAGUAUGCUCUAAUUCUCCAUUAAUUUAGCUCCCAUAUCUUUCAAUGACCUAAUAUUCUGCAAACAGUAGUGAGGAAAGAGCGAAGACAUACUACUGGUUAGCUCUGAAUCAUCAAAAAAAAAAAAAAAAAGCCAUUUGGCCAUGCUGUAAUGGAAAGAGGCAUGUAUCAUCUUCAAUGCAUAUUUCAGGCUCAUGAUAUAUUAAUUCCCUGGCAGUUCAAGGAAACAUGAGAUUGCAUUAGGUACAACUGUAGUACAUUGAAAUAUUUUUCUACUUCCUCUCUUAAAAGCUUGUAUUGCUAAGUCUAGUUCACUAAAGCGGAGGUACAGAGAUGAGUAAGGAGGAUAUUGCAACUGCUAAAAUUGUCUGUACAAGCAGUAGCUAUGAAAAAAGCUACUGAUGAAAGCCCAUCCUCUUAACACUUACACAGAGAAGUCAGAGCCACUGUAAAAUCAGACCAACACAAAACUAUAAGGCUUUACAUCCAAAUUAUGACUCCUGAAGACUCUUAUGCUCAUCUGAUCUCACAGCUAUUAGCGCAUAUACACAGAUCAAAAUCUUAACUUCCUGCGCUCUAAGAGUAACUUCGGUAUAUGAAAAAACUUUAAGGGACAUAGUAUUAUUUAGAGAAAUAAGACUGCAGUUUCUAGAACUUUUCUCCUUCAAAAUAUUAAGUGUAGCAUAACCCACUGCAACAAGUGGGUUAAGUGGGUAUGCAACACUGGAAACAUUCAUUCUUUAAUUUCUGAAAUAGCUUCACAGGAGUUACCCUAAUUGAAAAAUACAUUUGAAUACAUGGCUAUUAGGUAUGUAAUGUUCUUACUACCUUGUUCAGAUUUAAGACUAAGAGAUAUUUUAAUUACAACUGUAUUAGGAAAGUAACCCCACUCCUUAUAUAUAAGAAAAAUAAAUAUAUCUAGUAAUGAGAGGAUGUACGUGCA